UGCAGCUCACUUUACACCAGCCAGCAGAGAGGAGGCCAGCCACUGCUGCUCCCUAAAGGCCUCCAGGAUGGUUUGCGGUAUUGGACAGUGGCCCCUUGGCGUGACUCCCAUGAUCCUCCUGGUUCUGGGUCUUCAUCUCCCAGGCUUGGCUUCCAAGUGCAUCCCACGGUUGGAGGAGCCGGCGCUGGAACCGCUGCCAGUCGCCAUGGACCCCUACAUGCAGCCGGCAGGGAUUCUACAGCCCCAGGUCCGCCCGCAGGGGCAGGGGAUUGGUAAUGAGCCUGGAGCAUACGGAGGAACGGAUUCUGGAGCAUAUGGAGGACCUGGGCCCGGAUCAUAUGGGAUAGAUGGGCCCGGGGCCUACGGAGGAACCAAUUCUGGAUCGUAUGGAGGACCUGGGCCUGGAUCAUACGGGAUAGAUGGGCCCGGGGCCGAUGCAGGAACUGGGGCCGGAUCCUACGGAGGAACUGGAUGUGCAUCAUACGAAGCAGCCGGAACUGGGUCAUAUGAACAACCUGGGCCCGGAUCGUAUGGAAUAAAUGGCCCCGGAGCCUAUGAAGGAGCCAGGCCGGCUAUCUCAGUGGGGGGUUCCCCACCACAGUAUGGGAUGCUGGGUGCUGGCUAUGGGGUUGGCCCUGUCAGUCCGUCCGGGCACGUGCGGCCAAUCUAUAAGAACCCCAGCAUCCCCUUCGUGCCAGGUGUCCACGAUGAGGUCAGAACCGCAGGGCACAUACGGGUCCCUUAUAGGGACCCAGUGAGCUAUGCUGGGAAUGCCCGGCUGGGGCAGGGGGCAGGUGGGUUCCCGCUCCCAAAGUACAAGGAACCCAGCAUCCCCUAUGUGCCGAGCCUCUCGGAGCUGCCCAACCAUGCCGGAGAGGGGGUGUCGUCCAUGCCCGGGGUCUCCAUUGACAAUGCUGUUGGAGGGGGAGCUGGAACAGGAGAUGUGUCCAUGCCAGGCUCUUCCAGUCCCACGCUGCCUGAUGGCCCUUAGUCCACAGGGCAUGAGGAGCGAGCUGGUGAGGGUUAGCAGCUAAGGCAGGAGGAGGGCAGAAAGCCUAGGUUCUGUCCCCAGCUCUGGGGGGGUAUGGUUUAGGUGUGAGAGCAAGGGAACGGGACUCAGGACUCCCGGGUUCUGUCCCCAGCUGCAGGAAAACAGUGGGGUCUAGUGGUUAGAGUGGGAGGCGGGUCAGGACCCCUGGGUUCUAUCCCCAGCUCUUGACAGGGAGUGGGGGUCUAGUCAUUGGAGCAAGAGAAUGGGGGCUUCUAUCCCAGAUCUGGGGGGAAUGGUGUCUAGUGGUUAGAGCAGGGUGGAACUGGGGAUCAGGACUCCUGGUUCUGUCCUGGUUCUAUGAGUAGGGUUGAGUGGUUAGAGUGGGAGGAGGAAUGGAGGCCAGGACUGCUAGGUUCAAUCCCAGGUCUGUGAGGGGAGUGGUGUCUAGUGGUUAGAGCAGGGUAGGAGUGGGGCUAGGAGUCUGUACUCAUGGGUUCUAUCCCCUGCUCUCCUGUCAUCUUACCACAUGCUCCUGACUGGGCCACUCCAUCGCUUUGUGCCUCAGUUUCCCUGUGUUCCAAAACCUUUUGCUCAGCGCUUAGCUGUGGAUGAGGGUAAGUGCUUAUAGUCCUCCCUGUGUAAAUUCCCCACUCCCAUAUCUCCCCCCACCCAGCCUGGAUCACUUCAACCCUCCCCGCAACCACGUCUCCUUCCCAUAUGGUCUGUGAUCUCAGGGCCUCUGUAUUGCUGGGAUGCCUAGAUAGGGGUGGGGAGGAUGGCUGUGUCUCUCUCUGCUCCUCACUUCUGCUGCUGUAAAUGAUUCCAAUAAAACCCUUGCUCUGUGAGGUCA
Long non-coding RNA from Gopherus agassizii (Agassiz's desert tortoise), 1841 nucleotides. Lineage: Eukaryota; Metazoa; Chordata; Testudines; Testudinidae. The record is from Ensembl.